RNAcentral lists this ribosomal RNA (1443 nucleotides) under uncultured organism. RNAcentral describes it as "16S ribosomal RNA". It matches the Rfam family "Bacterial small subunit ribosomal RNA". The record is from RNAcentral.
CGCUAGCUACAGGCUUAACACAUGCAAGUCGAGGGGCAGCAUGGUCUUAGCUUGCUAAGGCCGAUGGCGACCGGCGCACGGGUGGGUAACACGUAUCCAACCUGCCGUCUACUCUUGGACAGCCUUCUGAAAGGAAGAUUAAUACAAGAUGGCAUCAUGAGUCCGCAUGUUCACAUGAUUAAAGGUAUUCCGGUAGACGAUGGGGAUGCGUUCCAUUAGAUAGUAGGCGGGGUAACGGCCCACUUAGUCUUCGAUGGAUAGGGGUUCUGAGAGGAAGGUCCCCCACAUUGGAACUGAGACACGGUCCAAACUCCUACGGGAGGCAGCAGUGAGGAAUAUUGGUCAAUGGGCGAGAGCCUGAACCAGCCAAGUAGCGUGAAGGAUGACUGCCCUAUGGGUUGUAAACUUCUUUUAUAAAGGAAUAAAGUCGGGUAUGGAUACCCGUUUGCAUGUACUUUAUGAAUAAGGAUCGGCUAACUCCGUGCCAGCAGCCGCGGUAAUACGGAGGAUCCGAGCGUUAUCCGGAUUUAUUGGGUUUAAAGGGAGCGUAGAUGGAUGUUUAAGUCAGUUGUGAAAGUUUGCGGCUCAACCGUAAAAUUGCAGUUGAUACUGGAUAUCUUGAGUGCAGUUGAGGCAGGCGGAAUUCGUGGUGUAGCGGUGAAAUGCUUAGAUAUCACGAAGAACUCCGAUUGCGAAGGCAGCCUGCUAAGCUGCAACUGACAUUGAGGCUCGAAAGUGUGGGUAUCAAACAGGAUUAGAUACCCUGGUAGUCCACACGGUAAACGAUGAAUACUCGCUGUUUGCGAUAUACAGCAAGCGGCCAAGCGAAAGCGUUAAGUAUUCCACCUGGGGAGUACGCCGGCAACGGUGAAACUCAAAGGAAUUGACGGGGGCCCGCACAAGCGGAGGAACAUGUGGUUUAAUUCGAUGAUACGCGAGGAACCUUACCCGGGCUUAAAUUGCAGAUGAAUUACGGUGAAAGCCGUAAGCCGCAAGGCAUCUGUGAAGGUGCUGCAUGGUUGUCGUCAGCUCGUGCCGUGAGGUGUCGGCUUAAGUGCCAUAACGAGCGCAACCCUUGUUGUCAGUUACUAACAGGUUCUGCUGAGGACUCUGACAAGACUGCCAUCGUAAGAUGUGAGGAAGGUGGGGAUGACGUCAAAUCAGCACGGCCCUUACGUCCGGGGCUACACACGUGUUACAAUGGGGGGUACAGAGGGCCGCUACCACGCGAGUGGAUGCCAAUCCCCAAAACCUCUCUCAGUUCGGACUGGAGUCUGCAACCCGACUCCACGAAGCUGGAUUCGCUAGUAAUCGCGCAUCAGCCACGGCGCGGUGAAUACGUUCCCGGGCCUUGUACACACCGCCCGUCAAGCCAUGGGAGCCGGGGGUACCUGAAGUGCGUAACCGCGAGGAGCGCCCUAGGGUAAAACUGGUGACUGGGGC